This 427-nucleotide ribosomal RNA is filed under the name uncultured beta proteobacterium. Its description in RNAcentral is "partial 16S ribosomal RNA". It matches the Rfam family "Bacterial small subunit ribosomal RNA", at positions 355 to 774 of the family's 1533-position model. The record is from RNAcentral. Lineage: Bacteria; Pseudomonadati; Pseudomonadota; Betaproteobacteria.
UGGGGAAUUUUGGACAAUGGGGGCAACCCUGAUCCAGCCAUGCCGCGUGCGGGAAGAAGGCCUUCGGGUUGUAAACCGCUUUUGGUCGGGAAGAAAAGAUGACGCUUAAUACGUGUUGUUCUUGACGGUACCGGCAGAAUAAGCACCGGCUAACUACGUGCCAGCAGCCGCGGUAAUACGUAGGGUGCGAGCGUUAAUCGGAAUUACUGGGCGUAAAGCGUGCGCAGGCGGUGAGUUAAGUCUGAUGUGAAAGCCCCGGGCUCAACCUGGGAAUGGCAUUGGAAACUGGCUCGCUAGAGUGUGGCAGAGGGGGGUGGAAUUCCGCGUGUAGCAGUGAAAUGCGUAGAGAUGCGGAGGAACACCGAUGGCGAAGGCAGCCCCCUGGGCCAACACUGACGCUCAGGCACGAAAGCGUGGGGAGCAAACA